GUGCAGGUAGCACAACGGUAGUGUCGCCGACUCCAAAUCGGCUGGAUGGUGGUUCAAAUCCAUCCCUGCACGCCA
Molecule: transfer RNA, 75 nt
Filed under: Cytophagaceae bacterium
Lineage: Bacteria; Pseudomonadati; Bacteroidota; Cytophagia; Cytophagales; Cytophagaceae
Description: tRNA-Trp
Rfam family: tRNA
About the family: Transfer RNA (tRNA) molecules are approximately 80 nucleotides in length. Their secondary structure includes four short double-helical elements and three loops (D, anti-codon, and T loops).
Source: RNAcentral